RNAcentral lists this ribosomal RNA (451 nucleotides) under uncultured Methanosaeta sp. RNAcentral describes it as "bacterial SSU rRNA". It matches the Rfam family "Archaeal small subunit ribosomal RNA", at positions 890 to 1338 of the family's 1478-position model. Lineage: Archaea; Methanobacteriati; Methanobacteriota; Methanomicrobia; Methanotrichales; Methanotrichaceae. The record is from RNAcentral.
GGAGCUUGCGGUUUAAUUUGGAUUACAACGCCGGAAAUCUUACCGGGACCGACAGCAAUAUGAAGGCCAGGCUGAAGACUUUGCCGGAUUAGCUGAGAGGUGGUGCAUGGCCGUCGUCAGUUCGUACUGUGAAGCAUCCUGUUAAGUCAGGCAACGAGCGAGACCCACGCCCACAGUUGCCAGCGUACUCUCUGGAGUGACGGGUACACUGUGGGGACCGCCGCUGCUAAAGCGGAGGAAGGAAUGGGCAACGGUAGGUCAGUAUGCCCCGAAUAUCCCGGGCUACACGCGAGCUACAAUGGUUGGUACAAUGGGUAUCUACCCCGAAAGGGGACGGGAAUCUCCUAAAACCAAUCUUAGUUCGGAUUGAGGGCUGCAACUCGCCCUCAUGAAGCUGGAAUCCGUAGUAAUCGCGUUUCAACAGAACGCGGUGAAUACGUCCCUGCUCCUU